GCGACGCCGCGUGAGGGAUGAAGGCCUUCGGGUUGUAAACCUCUUUCAGUAGGGAAGAAGCCGGCCCUUGGGUUGGUGACGGUACCUGCAGAAGAAGCGCCGGCUAACUACGUGCCAGCAGCCGCGGUAAUACGUAGGGCGCAAGCGUUAUCCGGAAUUAUUGGGCGUAAAGAGCUCGUAGGCGGUUUGUCGCGUCUGCCGUGAAAGUCCGGGGCUUAACUCCGGAUCUGCGGUGGGUACGGGCAGACUAGAGUGCAGUAGGGGAGACUGGAAUUCCUGGUGUAGCGGUGAAAUGCGCAGAUAUCAGGAGGAACACCGAUGGCGAAGGCAGGUCUCUGGGCUGUAACUGACGCUGAGGAGCGAAAGCAUGGGGAGCGAACAGGAUUAGAUACCCUGGUAGUCCAUGCCGUAAACGUUGGGCACUAGGUGUGGGGGACAUUCCACGUUUUCCGCGCCGUAGCUAACGCAUUAAGUGCCCCGCCUGGGGAGUACGGCCGCAAGGCUAAAACUC
This 511-nucleotide ribosomal RNA is filed under the name Arthrobacter sp. MN05-02. RNAcentral's name for it is "bacterial SSU rRNA". It matches the Rfam family "Bacterial small subunit ribosomal RNA", at positions 391 to 902 of the family's 1533-position model. The record is from RNAcentral. Lineage: Bacteria; Bacillati; Actinomycetota; Actinomycetes; Micrococcales; Micrococcaceae.